RNAcentral lists this ribosomal RNA (556 nucleotides) under Avocettina infans (avocet snipe-eel). Its description in RNAcentral is "partial 16S ribosomal RNA". It matches the Rfam family "Bacterial large subunit ribosomal RNA", at positions 1920 to 2611 of the family's 2925-position model. Lineage: Eukaryota; Metazoa; Chordata; Actinopteri; Anguilliformes; Nemichthyidae. The record is from RNAcentral.
AAGUUUAACGGCCGCGGUAUCCUGACCGUGCGAAGGUAGCGUAAUCAUUUGUCUUUUAAAUGAAGACCUGUAUGAAUGGCAUAACGAGGGUUUAACUGUCUCCCUUCCCCGGUCAAUGAAAUUGAUCUACCCGUGCAGAAGCGGGUAUAUAACCAUAAGACGAGAAGACCCUAUGGAGCUUUAGACAAAGGAUCGCGCAUGUAAAGAAGGCCUAUUGUCCAAAAGGACUACAGUGACCAUAAAACCAAAUGUACAACGAACCGAGUGUCUUCGGUUGGGGCGACCAUGGGGGAGAGAAAAGCCCCCACGAGGAACGGGGAAACCCUGAGCUAAGAAGGACACUUCUAGGCAACAGAAAAUCUGACCGCAACUGACCCAGGACAACGCUCCUGAUCAACGAACCAAGUUACCCUAGGGAUAACAGCGCAAUCCUCUCCCAGAGUCCAUAUCGACGAGGGGGUUUACGACCUCGAUGUUGGAUCAGGACAUCCUAAUGGUGCAGCCGCUAUUAAGGGCUCGUUUGUUCAACGAUUAAUAGUCCUACGUGAUCUGAGUC